RNAcentral lists this ribosomal RNA (465 nucleotides) under Vreelandella stevensii. RNAcentral's name for it is "partial 16S ribosomal RNA". It matches the Rfam family "Bacterial small subunit ribosomal RNA", at positions 338 to 795 of the family's 1533-position model. The record is from RNAcentral. Lineage: Bacteria; Pseudomonadati; Pseudomonadota; Gammaproteobacteria; Oceanospirillales; Halomonadaceae.
CCUACGGGUGGCAGCAGUGGGGAAUAUUGGACAAUGGGCGAAAGCCUGAUCCAGCCAUGCCGCGUGUGUGAAGAAGGCCUUCGGGUUGUAAAGCACUUUCAGUGGGGAAGAAAGCCUUGGGGCUAAUACCCUCGAGGAAGGACAUCACCCACAGAAGAAGCACCGGCUAACUCCGUGCCAGCAGCCGCGGUAAUACGGAGGGUGCGAGCGUUAAUCGGAAUUACUGGGCGUAAAGCGCGCGUAGGCGGUCUGAUAAGCCGGUUGUGAAAGCCCCGGGCUCAACCUGGGAACGGCAUCCGGAACUGUCAGGCUAGAGUGCAGGAGAGGAAGGUAGAAUUCCCGGUGUAGCGGUGAAAUGCGUAGAGAUCGGGAGGAAUACCAGUGGCGAAGGCGGCCUUCUGGACUGACACUGACGCUGAGGUGCGAAAGCGUGGGUAGCAAACAGGAUUAGAUACCCUAGUAAUC